RNAcentral lists this ribosomal RNA (320 nucleotides) under uncultured Planctomycetota bacterium. RNAcentral describes it as "bacterial SSU rRNA". It matches the Rfam family "Bacterial small subunit ribosomal RNA", at positions 29 to 349 of the family's 1533-position model. Lineage: Bacteria; Pseudomonadati; Planctomycetota. The record is from RNAcentral.
AACGAACGUUGGCGGCGUGGAUUAGGCAUGCAAGUCGAACGAAUCCCGGUAGCAAUACUGGGGGAAGUGGCGAAAGGGGCAGUAAUGCAUGGGUAACCUACCCCAGGGACUGGGAUAGCCCUCCUAACGGAGGGGUAAUACCGGGCGAUGUAGCGAGGGGGCAUCUUCUUGCUACGAAAUGAGUUUCGCCUUGGGAGGGGCCCAUGUGAUAUUAGCUAGUUGGUGAGGUAACGGCUCACCAAGGCCAAGAUGUCUAGCGGGUGUGAGAGCACGACCCGCGCCACUGGCACUGUGACACUGGCCAGACUCCUACGGGUGGG